UUUACCCUGGAGUGUGCGUCAGCGGAGUAAGUCCCUGAGCCGAUAAGCAAUACCAAAGGGUUAGAAUCUGGUAGCUAUUGAGCAAGCUCGGCCCGAACCGAGAAGCCUACGGUUAUCAAUCCUGAUCCGCCUUGAACCAGCUGGUUCAAGGGUCUAACAUCUGCGACGGCACUCUGGGGUAUCU
Molecule: non-coding RNA, 184 nt
Filed under: Vibrio aerogenes
Lineage: Bacteria; Pseudomonadati; Pseudomonadota; Gammaproteobacteria; Vibrionales; Vibrionaceae
Also listed under: 1 other name
Description: 6S / SsrS RNA
Rfam family: 6S / SsrS RNA
About the family: E. coli 6S RNA was the first non coding RNA to be sequenced, but its function was unknown until recently. It consists of 184 nucleotides that fold into an extended hairpin structure with a large single-stranded internal bulge.
Source: RNAcentral